GCCUGGUGUGGUGGUGCACACCUGUAAUCCCAGCUGCUCAGGAGGUGGAGGCAGGAGGAUUGCAAGUUCAAAGCCAGCCUCUGCAAUUUAGCGAAGCACUAAGCAACUCAGUGAGACCUUGUCUCUA
RNAcentral lists this small RNA (127 nucleotides) under Marmota monax (woodchuck). The record is from RNAcentral. Lineage: Eukaryota; Metazoa; Chordata; Mammalia; Rodentia; Sciuridae.